This 1778-nucleotide small RNA is filed under the name Pongo abelii (Sumatran orangutan). RNAcentral's name for it is "processed transcript". Lineage: Eukaryota; Metazoa; Chordata; Mammalia; Primates; Hominidae. The record is from RNAcentral.
CAGGUGGAAAUGAACAACUGCCCCCAAAGCCUGUGCCGGAGGCUGGAGUAGCCAUUGCUGCUUGUGUGGAGAUGGAGCAGCAGUAUGACCCACUUGACUCAGACAUGCCAGCCAUGGACACAGCUGGCCUGUUCAAAGAAAGUCAUGAAGAUAUGAAGAAGCCAGAUGAAGAGGAAGAGAAACAGAAGAUAGAAGAUUCUCUGUGGGCAGGUGUGGAGGCAUGUCAAAAGGUAGACACUGGAGCUAUUGAUAUCAAGACACUAGAAGGUACAGAGGAAUUUGAAGAGAAAGCAUGUGAAAGGACAGGAAACAGAGUGGUAGAUCUUCUUAAUACCAUAGGAAAGGAAGACCAUAAGACCUUAAAAAUUAAUGAAGUGGAAACUAGAAAAGAUCUAAGAGCAGGGUAUAAGGAAAGUACAAACACCAAUGAAAAUUCUUUUGAGAAAACUGACCUAUUAGAAAAGAACAUGGAAGGAGGAGAUAUGGCAAAAGAACUUAGUGACAGAGACCAAGGUCUACAUGAUGGAAUUCAAAAGGUAAUCAAUAAUUGUGGAAUGAUAGAAGGCUUUGGAGCCAAACCUGCCAAUCACCCAGAUAUCUUGAAUCCAUCUCUCCAGACCUACUCUGUAUCUAAUAUUGAAGAUGGCAGCCCUGAGGGAUGGGAUUUGACUAGAAAAGACAUAAAGAAAAAUGCAAUAAACACUCCCAACCAUGAUAUGGUAUUUUACCCAGCACAAGACAGUACAGAUGCUGAAGAAAUUCAGUGUGAGACUGUGUUAAAUGCUCUUGUAGGUGACAGGGAUAAAAAUCAGGCUGUUUUAUCAAUAAAACUUGAAGUAGAAGCUCAGUCUAGGACUGACCUUAAUUAUUCUCUGGGAAGAGAUGCAAACAGAAGAGAUUUAUGUUCAUGUAAGGCAGAAAGUUCACUAAUAGAAGGGUCUGAAAGAACAGUAACUAAGAACUGUAGUCAUACUGUUAACUUGCCAAGAAUUGCAGAGAUAGACUCUUGGGGAACAGAUCCAGGUCAAAUCUGGCAGCCAAGCUUGGAUUCAGCAAUGAAUAAUUUGGAUAUAACAGGAUUCUCUGGUAUACCAGAUGGCCAAGCAAGUGGAUUUGCCAGUUGUCUGGAUUCUAUUAACCACUGGCCUAUCAGAGAUACAGAAGGCUUAGAUAAUAGCUGGACACAUUUAGAUGUAGUUGAGCACAAGGAAGAACUGAAGGUGGACUUACUAGCAGGUGAUUGUAGGGAACAAGCCAUUUCUAGCUGCUGGGAACAAAGCCAGGAGAUAGCAAGACCAUUGAUUUUGGGGACCUCCUGGAAUGCUAGCACUGAGAGUUCUGCUAGUUCCCGAGACCAGGACAUCAACAACUCAGAUUUAUCUGAAGAUGAAAUUGCUAACCAGAGAUAUGGAUUGUUGUACCAAGAAAUAGAGGCUGACAAAGACGAGGCUUCUGGUGGUUCAUUUAAUGGAUUCACACAGCCCCAGGAUACUUCAUUAUUCACAAUGCAGACAGACCAGAGUAUGAUCUGCAACUUGAUCAUACCUGGAGCUGAUACUGAUGCAGCUGUUGGAACCUUGGUGUCAGCAGCUGAGGGGGCCCCAGGAGAGGAAGCAGAGGCAGAGAAGCCCACUGUCCCUGCCGGGGAAGGAGUAAGUUUAGAGGAGGCCAAAAUUGGAACUGAAACCACUGAGGGUGCAGAGAGUGCCCAACCUGAAGCAGAGGAGCUGGAAGCAACAGUGCCUCAGGAGAAGGUCAUCCCUUCGGUGGUCAUAGAG